This is a long non-coding RNA of Morone saxatilis (striped sea-bass), 1100 nucleotides long. RefSeq lists it as uncharacterized. The record is from RefSeq and is a predicted model, not a curated record. Lineage: Eukaryota; Metazoa; Chordata; Actinopteri; Moronidae. The transcript has 3 exons.
GACCCAGUUUCUUGUGGACAAGAGCGAACCCCUGAAAGCUACAAGUAAGCAGUGGAUCAGUUACAAGCUGAAGACGUGGCGGAUGUUCAUGGAGUAAAGUUCAGGGCCCUGUUGCUUUUCUGCUGAGACAUUCAUGUUGAGCAUUGACCAAAAGGUUGUCAACGACCACAUCACUUCCUUCACCUCUGCCCUCUGCCUGAUGUUUGGGAGUUUCUACUGCUUCAACAUACACUACCCAGUGGAACUACGAUCAACACUAGAGUUUCUCCAAAGGUGUUUCUUCUCAAUAAAUCCUGAGAGAGGCACCAAAGUCGAGUGGAAUAAAAAAAAAGAAAGUACUCCCAGUCAAUCCUAGAGUCCUCACUCUGAUUGCAGACCUUGCAGACCAUGAAUGGACAUAGACAUACCCUAUUAACCCUUUAGGGACAAGUGGUUAAGGUAUGAGUGGUUAAUGUAUGUUCAAGUAUACAGUAUGUUAUGGUAUACUGCACAUAUUUUGUUGUUAAAAUUGUACCACAAGGUAAAUUGAAAGCCAGUGUAAACUUCUCGUUGGAAAAUGUCUGGUGGUUUCUAAAGGUACAUGUUUAGCUUCACUGAGAGAGAUCAGUGGAUUUGUGCUGGUGAACUUGGUAGUUCCAGAAAUUUCUUAGAUGACAUUUAUUUUUUUUACAGUCAUUAAGGUAAUUGUUUUGUGAUUUCUAUAGUUAGUAAAAUUUCAAACCAUUGCUCUUUACAGCUUCACAGAAGUGGAAAAAACUUUCCUAUAUUUCAAAAUGUAAGAAGAAUAUGUUUUUUUGUGGCCUAUUGUUUGUUCAGGUUUAUUGAGUAGAAUAAGUGUUAUGAAAAUACUGUAGUCCCAUGUAAAUCACGCUUAUGUGGGUCACUCCUUCAGAGCCAUGCAGUUAACAGUUUGAGUCAAGUAUAGAGUCUGUGUUAUGUGUAGCUCUGGCCGUGUCUGACUUUUUAAAAUGGACAGCUGCGGUGAUGCCUUUCUGGAGUGUUUCUGGGCUGGGCAGAGUGGACAGGGCGGGCUGCCCUUCAACAGAGACAAGCAUUUCUUUGCCUGGAAAAUGCAGCUUACUCAAGCUGUUAUAUGUAGU